GAAGGGUGAAAAGCGUCCUUCGACGUCCGGGUCCGGCUUGCGGGGCCAGCGAACUGGAGAGGUGCCAUGGGCUGGAGUAAGCACCCCUCCACCUUCCGUCCUCGAUUGUUCCCCUUGUGGAAGUCGUCCCGGGUCUCGUGGGAUACUUGCCGCCCGCUCCCGCCCUGCGCUGCCGGUUCCCCAGCGCCUGGGCGAACCCCAACCCCACCCGGCCCUCCGCCCCGCAGCCCCGGUUGCACCAGGAUGUGAAGAGCUGGCAAAACUUGACUUGACUGUAAAUUUCAUUGGAGAGCUGAGCAGCAUUAAAACCUUGCAGCACAAUAUCCAUCUGAAGGAGCUCUUUCUCAUGGGGAACCCAUGUGCUUCCUUUGACCACUAUAGGGAGUUCGUUGUAGCAACUCUUCCACAAUUAAAGUUCGUCUUUAGAGAGCAAAGACCACCUACAGGCACCAGACAUAGAGGAAAACAACACAAAGAAAUUAGACAACAGUGAAGAUGACUUGGAAUUCUGGAAUAAGCCCUGUUUGUUUACUCCUGAAUCAAGACUGGAAACUCUUA
RNAcentral lists this small RNA (558 nucleotides) under Pongo abelii (Sumatran orangutan). RNAcentral's name for it is "processed transcript". The record is from RNAcentral. Lineage: Eukaryota; Metazoa; Chordata; Mammalia; Primates; Hominidae.